This 253-nucleotide ribosomal RNA is filed under the name uncultured bacterium. Its description in RNAcentral is "partial 16S ribosomal RNA". It matches the Rfam family "Bacterial small subunit ribosomal RNA", at positions 524 to 776 of the family's 1533-position model. The record is from RNAcentral.
UACGUAGGGCGCAAGCGUUGUCCGGAAUCAUUGGGCGUAAAGAGCGUGUAGGCGGCCCGGUAAGUCCGCUGUAAAAGUCAAAGGCUCAACCUUUGAAUGUCAGUGGAUACUGCCGGGCUAGAGUCCGGAAGAGGCGAGUGGAACUCCUGGUGUAGCGGUGGAAUGCGCAGAUAUCAGGAAGAACACCAACGGCGAAGGCAGCUCGCUGGGACGGUACUGACGCUGAGGCGCGAAAGCGUGGGGAGCAAACAGG